AUAACAAUCUGUUCCCUGAUGUGGAUAGUUCGUGGAAAACAUUCAAUGAGAUCCAGAAACUGCUCAGUAAAACAAAUGGUAAAGUUGUUGGCGACCUGAUGACAUCUGCUCCACUAGCUGUUCGUGAAACUUCAAAUUUAGAAGAUGCUGCCAAGUUGUUGCUUGAAACAAAAUAUCGUCGUUUGCCGGUAGUAGAUGCAGAUGGCAAGCUGGUGGGGAUCAUUACUAGGGGAAAUGUCGUUAGAGCUGCUUUGCAGAUAAAACGUGCUGGUGAAAGGUCGACGUAAUUGUAGAAACAUCAACUGGCAUCCCUCUGAGGUAAAACGCUACUCGAAAGCAUAGCAUUAUUUGUAGAUGAUGAAUGUAGUAUGUUAUAGUUUACACAGGGUAUAGAUUGUUACAAUUUACCUGAAGUUGUGGAUUCUGUCCUGAAGUAAACUAG
This 442-nucleotide unclassified non-coding RNA is filed under the name Hevea brasiliensis (rubber tree). Lineage: Eukaryota; Viridiplantae; Streptophyta; Magnoliopsida; Malpighiales; Euphorbiaceae. The record is from RNAcentral.